GCUUCCUACGGGAGGCAGCAGUGGGGAAUAUUGGACAAUGGGCGCAAGCCUGAUCCAGCCAUGCCGCGUGUGUGAAGAAGGCCUUCGGGUUGUAAAGCACUUUUGUUCGGGAAGAAAAGCUACCGGUUAAUACCCGGGAGUCAUGACGGUACCGAAAGAAUAAGCACCGGCUAACUUCGUGCCAGCAGCCGCGGUAAUACGAAGGGUGCAAGCGUUACUCGGAAUUACUGGGCGUAAAGCAUGCGUAGGUGGUGCGUUAAGUCUGUCGUGAAAGCCCCGGGCUCGACCUGGGAAUGGCGAUGGAUACUGGCGCGCUAGAGUGCGGUAGAGGAGAGUGGAAUUCCCGGUGUAGCAGUGAAAUGCGUAGAGAUCGGGAGGAACAUCAGUUGCGAAGGCGGCUCUCUGGACCAACACUGACACUGAGGCACGAAAGCGUGGGGAGCAAACAGGAUUAGAUACCCUGGUAGUCCACGCCCUAAACGAUGCGAACUGGACGUUGGGAGCAACUAGGCUCUCAGUGUCGAAGCUAACGCGUUAAGUUCGCCGCCUGGGGAGUACGGUCGCAAGACUGAAACUC
RNAcentral lists this ribosomal RNA (577 nucleotides) under uncultured bacterium. RNAcentral's name for it is "bacterial SSU rRNA". It matches the Rfam family "Bacterial small subunit ribosomal RNA", at positions 334 to 902 of the family's 1533-position model. The record is from RNAcentral.